This 390-nucleotide ribosomal RNA is filed under the name uncultured bacterium. Its description in RNAcentral is "bacterial SSU rRNA". It matches the Rfam family "Bacterial small subunit ribosomal RNA", at positions 28 to 416 of the family's 1533-position model. The record is from RNAcentral.
GACGAACGCUGGCGGCGUGCUUAACACAUGCAAGUCGAACGAUGAAGCCCUUUCGGGGUGGAUUAGUGGCGAACGGGUGAGUAACACGUGGGCAAUCUGCCCUGUACUUUGGGAUAAGCCUUGGAAACGAGGUCUAAUACCGGAUAUGAUGAGUCCUCGCAUGGGGGUUUGGUUNAAAGUUCCGGCGGUACAGGAUGAGCCCGCGGCCUAUCAGCUUGUUGGUGGGGUAAUGCCUACCAAGGCGACGACGGGUAGGCCGGCCUGAGAGGGCGGACCGGCCACACUGGGACGUGAGACACGGCCCAGACUCCUACGGGAGGGCAGCAGUGGGGAAGUAUUGCACAAUGGGCGAAAGCCUGAUGCAGCGACGCCGCGUGAGGGAUNACGGCC